This 497-nucleotide ribosomal RNA is filed under the name uncultured bacterium. RNAcentral describes it as "partial 16S ribosomal RNA". It matches the Rfam family "Bacterial small subunit ribosomal RNA", at positions 28 to 507 of the family's 1533-position model. The record is from RNAcentral.
GAUGAACGCUGGCGGCGUGCCUAAUACAUGCAAGUCGAGCGAACGGACGAGAAGCUUGCUUCUCUGAUGUUAGCGGCGGACGGGUGAGUAACACGUGGAUAACCUACCUAUAAGACUGGGAUAACUUCGGGAAACCGGAGCUAAUACCGGAUAAUAUUUUGAACCGCAUGGUUCAAAAGUGAAAGACGGUCUUGCUGUCACUUAUAGAUGGAUCCGCGCUGCAUUCGCUAGUUGGUAAGGUAACGGCUUACCAAGGCAACGAUGCAUAGCCGACCUGAGAGGGUGAUCGGCCACACUGGAACUGAGACACGGUCCAGACUCCUACGGGAGGCAGCAGUAGGGAAUCUUCCGCAAUGGGCGAAAGCCUGACGGAGCAACGCCGCGUGAGUGAUGAAGGUCUUCGGAUCGUAAAACUCUGUUAUUAGGGAAGAACAUAUGUGUAAGUAACUGUGCACAUCUUGACGGUACCUAAUCAGAAAGCCCCGGCUAACUACGUG